RNAcentral lists this transfer RNA (71 nucleotides) under Blaesodactylus antongilensis. RNAcentral's name for it is "tRNA-His". Lineage: Eukaryota; Metazoa; Chordata; Lepidosauria; Squamata; Gekkonidae. The record is from RNAcentral.
GCCAACAUAGUUUUGAUCAAAACACUAAGUUGUGGGCCUAGUAACAAGGAAACAUACUCCUUUGUUGGCCC